UUUUAUUUAUUUUCUAUUAUUAAUUAGGGUUUAUGAUGGACCUUGGGCCUUCUAUGCAUCCCUUAGCCCAUUUCGUUUUAACCCCCCCUUUUUUUUUCUUUUAGUUAUUUAGUUUUGAUUUUAAAGUAAAAAUAAAUAAUUUCAUAUUUAGUAAAUAUUAAAUAUGCUGAAUUUCAAUAUUAAAAACAUAUCAGGUUUUAUUAAAUAAAU
This 210-nucleotide long non-coding RNA is filed under the name Lathyrus oleraceus (garden pea). Its description in RNAcentral is "Pisum sativum (pea) long non-coding RNA (PSAT_LNC017645)". The record is from RNAcentral. Lineage: Eukaryota; Viridiplantae; Streptophyta; Magnoliopsida; Fabales; Fabaceae.